AACGAACGCUGGCGGCAUGCCUAACACAUGCAAGUCGAACGAGACCUUCGGGUCUAGUGGCGCACGGGUGCGUAACGCGUGGGAACCUGCCCUUAGGUUCGGAAUAACUCCCCGAAAGGGGUGCUAAUACCGGUUAAUGUCUUCGGACCAAAGAGUUAUCGCCUUUGGAUGGGCCCGCGUUGGAUUAGCCAGUUGGUAGGGUAAAAGCCUACCAAGGCGACGAUCCAUAGCUGGUCUGAGAGGAUGAUCAGCCACACUGGGACUGAGACACGGCCCAGACUCCUACGGGAGGCAGCAGUGGGGAAUAUUGGACAAUGGGCGAAAGCCUGAUCCAGCAAUGCCGCGUGAGUGAUGAAGGCCUUAGGGUUGUAAAGCUCUUUUAGCCGGGAUGAUAAUGACAGUACCGGGAGAAUAAGCACCGGCUAACUCCGUG
RNAcentral lists this ribosomal RNA (433 nucleotides) under uncultured bacterium. RNAcentral describes it as "partial 16S ribosomal RNA". It matches the Rfam family "Bacterial small subunit ribosomal RNA", at positions 29 to 507 of the family's 1533-position model. The record is from RNAcentral.